This 459-nucleotide ribosomal RNA is filed under the name uncultured Acidobacteriota bacterium. RNAcentral describes it as "bacterial SSU rRNA". It matches the Rfam family "Bacterial small subunit ribosomal RNA", at positions 341 to 792 of the family's 1533-position model. Lineage: Bacteria; Pseudomonadati; Acidobacteriota. The record is from RNAcentral.
ACGGGAGGCAGCAGUGGGGAAUAUUGGACAAUGGGCGCAAGCCUGAUCCAGCAACGCCGCGUGGAGGACGAAGGUCUUCGGAUCGUAAACUCCUGUCAGGCGGGACGAAGGUUUCCGGGCAAAUAGUCCGGAAGCUUGACGGUACUGCCAGAGGAAGCCCCGGCUAACUCCGUGCCAGCAGCCGCGGUAAUACGGAGGGGGCUAGCGUUAUUCGGAAUUAUUGGGCGUAAAGGGCGCGUAGGCGGCCCGGUAAGUCAAAGGUGAAAUCCCUCGGCUCAACUGAGGAACUGCCUUUGAAACUGUCGGGCUCGAGGCCGGGAGGGGGUAGCGGAAUUCCCAGUGUAGCGGUGAAAUGCGUAGAUAUUGGGAGGAACACCGGUGGCGAAGGCGGCUACCUGGACCGGUUCUGACGCUGAUGCGCGAAAGCGUGGGUAGCAAACAGGAUUAGAUACCCUGGUA